Molecule: ribosomal RNA, 407 nt
Filed under: uncultured bacterium
Lineage: Bacteria
Description: bacterial SSU rRNA
Rfam family: Bacterial small subunit ribosomal RNA
Source: RNAcentral
AUUGAACGCUGGCGGCAUGCCUUACACAUGCAAGUCGAACGGCAGCACGGGAGCAAUCCUGGUGGCGAGUGGCGAACGGGUGAGUAAUAUAUCGGAACGUGCCCGGUCGUGGGGGAUAACGUAGCGAAAGCUACGCUAAUACCGCAUACGAUCUACGGAUGAAAGCGGGGGAUCGCAAGACCUCGCGCGAUUGGAGCGGCCGAUAUCAGAUUAGGUAGUUGGUGAGGUAAAGGCUCACCAAGCCGACGAUCUGUAGCUGGUCUGAGAGGACGACCAGCCACACUGGGACUGAGACACGGCCCAGACUCCUACGGGAGGCAGCAGUGGGGAAUUUUGGACAAUGGGCGCAAGCCUGAUCCAGCAAUGCCGCGUGCAGGAUGAAGGCCUUCGGUUGGUUAAACGUAGUC